ACGCACGCUGGCGGCGUGCUUAACCCAUGCCAGUCGCACGGAAAGGCCCUGCUUUUGUGGGGUGCUCGAGUGGCGAACGGGUGAGUAACACGUGAGUAACCUGCCCUUGACUUUGGGAUAACUUCAGGAAACUGGGGCUAAUACCGGAGAGGAGCUCCUGCUGCAUGGUGGGGGUUGGAAAGUUUCGGCGGUUGGGGAUGGACUCGCGGCUUAUCAGCUUGUUGGUGGGGUAGUGGCUUACCAAGGCUUUGACGGGUAGCCGGCCUGAGAGGGUGACCGGCCACAUUGGGACUGAGAUACGGCCCAGACUCCUACGGGAGGCAGCAGUGGGGAAUAUUGCACAAUGGGCGGAAGCCUGAUGCAGCAACGCCGCGUGCGGGAUGACGGCCUUCGGGCUGUAAACCGCUUUCGCCUGUGACGAAGCGUGAGUGACGGUAAUGGGUAAAGAAGCACCGGCUAACUACGUG
Molecule: ribosomal RNA, 467 nt
Filed under: uncultured bacterium
Lineage: Bacteria
Description: partial 16S ribosomal RNA
Rfam family: Bacterial small subunit ribosomal RNA
Source: RNAcentral